UGGAAUGGUUCCUGACUAAAAUCUAUAUGGCCUCUGGAUUGGACUGCGGCCGAUCAGGCUGUUGGUGAGGUAAUGGCCCACCAAACCUGUAACCGGUACGGGCUCUGAGAGGAGGAGCCCGGAGAUGGGCACUGAGACAAGGGCCCAGGCCCUAUGGGGCGCAGCAGGCGCGAAACCUCUGCAAUAGGCGAAAGCCUGACAGGGUUACUCUGAGUGACUUUCGCUAAGAAAGUCUUUUGGCACCUCUAAAAAGGGUGCAGAAUAAGGGGUGGGCAAGUCUGGUGUCAGCCGCCGCGGUAAUACCAGCACCCCGAGUGGUCGGGACGAUUAUUGGGCCUAAAGCAUCCGUAGCCGGUUCUGCAAGUCCCCCGUUAAAUCCAGCUGCUCAACAGAUGGGCCGCGGAGGAUACUACAGAGCUAGGAGGCAGGAGAGGCAAGCGGUACUCAAUGGGUAGGGGUAAAAUCCGUUGAUCCAUUGAAGACCACCAGUGGCGAAGGCGGCUUGCCAGAAUGCGCUCGACGGUGAGGGAUGAAAGCUGGGGGAGCAAACCGGAUUAGAUACCCGGGUAGUCCCAGCCGUAAACGAUGCAGACUCGGUGAUGGGUUGGCUUCGCGCUAACCCAGUGCCGCAGGAAGCCGUUAAGUCUGCCGCCUGGGUAGUACGGUCGCAAGACUGAAACUUAAAGGAAUUGGCGGGGAGCACCAAAGGGGUGAAGCCUGCGGUUCAAUUGGAGUCACGCGG
RNAcentral lists this ribosomal RNA (742 nucleotides) under uncultured archaeon. RNAcentral describes it as "bacterial SSU rRNA". It matches the Rfam family "Archaeal small subunit ribosomal RNA", at positions 171 to 920 of the family's 1478-position model. The record is from RNAcentral.